AAUCAACGCUGGCGGCGUGCCUAACACAUGCAAGUCGAACGCGAAAGCCCCUUCGGGGUGGAGUAGAGUGGCGUCCGGGUGAGUAACGCGUGGGUAAUCUGCCCUUGGGUGGGGGAAGUAACCAGUCGAAAGAUUGGCUAAUACCGCAUAAUGCAGCGGCUCGACAUCGAGACAGUUGUUAAAGCAGCAAUGCGCCUGAGGAGGAGCCUGCGUCUGAUCAGC
This 222-nucleotide ribosomal RNA is filed under the name uncultured bacterium. Its description in RNAcentral is "partial 16S ribosomal RNA". It matches the Rfam family "Bacterial small subunit ribosomal RNA", at positions 32 to 245 of the family's 1533-position model. The record is from RNAcentral.